AAAUGAGAUGCCUGAGCAUAAAGGGUUAUUUUGAUAGAAUAAAUCACGUAAUAUAUUACUCUCGUU
Molecule: transfer RNA, 66 nt
Filed under: Agrilinae sp. 2 ACP-2013
Lineage: Eukaryota; Metazoa; Arthropoda; Insecta; Coleoptera; Buprestidae
Description: tRNA-Ile
Source: RNAcentral